This 144-nucleotide microRNA precursor is filed under the name Gossypium hirsutum (cotton). RNAcentral describes it as "MIR7502 microRNA precursor family". It matches the Rfam family "MIR7502 microRNA precursor family". Lineage: Eukaryota; Viridiplantae; Streptophyta; Magnoliopsida; Malvales; Malvaceae. The record is from Rfam by way of RNAcentral.
UAUUAAAAAUUCAUUUAUUUUUAUCAUUAAAAACUAACGAGAGUGACAAAAUAACUCAAUGGUUACACGUGGUGUGUCAUGUGUAUCUCAUUCUAAUCUAUGGAAAUUAGUUUUUAACCGUAUAAAUAGAUAAAAUUUUUAACA